RNAcentral lists this ribosomal RNA (801 nucleotides) under uncultured Pelagibacteraceae bacterium. RNAcentral's name for it is "bacterial SSU rRNA". It matches the Rfam family "Bacterial small subunit ribosomal RNA", at positions 35 to 884 of the family's 1533-position model. Lineage: Bacteria; Pseudomonadati; Pseudomonadota; Alphaproteobacteria; Candidatus Pelagibacterales; Candidatus Pelagibacteraceae. The record is from RNAcentral.
GCUGGCGGCACGCCUAACACAUGCAAGUCGAACGAAGUAGCAAUACUUAGUGGCAGACGGGUGAGUAACAUGUAGGUAUCUGCCCUUUGGCCUGGAAUAACACGAGGAAACUUGUGCUAAUACCGGAUAAGUCUUUACGGAGAAAGCUUUAUGCACCAUUGGAUGAGCCUGCACUUGAUUAGUUUGUUGGUGGGGUAAUGGCCUACCAAGACUUUGAUCAAUAGCUGAUUUGAGAGGAUGAUCAGCCACAUUGGGACUGAGACACGGCCCAAACUCCUACGGGAGGCAGCAGUGGGGAAUCUUGCACAAUGGAGGAAACUCUGAUGCAGCGAUGCCGCGUGAGUGAAGAAGGCCCUUGGGUUGUAAAGCUCUUUCGUCGGGGAAGAAAAUGACUGUACCCGAAUAAGAAGGUCCGGCUAACUUCGUGCCAGCAGCCGCGGUAAUACGAAGGGACCUAGCGUAGUUCGGAAUUACUGGGCUUAAAGAGUUCGUAGGUGGUUGAAAUAGUUGGUGGUGAAAUCCCAGAGCUUAACUCUGGAACUGCCAUCAAAACUUUUCAGCUAGAGUAUGAUAGAGGAAAGCAGAAUUUCUAGUGUAGAGGUGAAAUUCGUAGAUAUUAGAAAGAAUACCAAUUGCGAAGGCAGCUUUCUGGAUCAUUACUGACACUGAGGAACGAAAGCAUGGGUAGCGAAGAGGAUUAGAUACCCUCGUAGUCCAUGCCGUAAACGAUGUGUGUUAGACGUUGGAAAUUUAUUUUCAGUGUCGCAGCGAAAGCGAUAAACACACCGCCUGGGGAGUACG